CCAAAGGCUCUUUUAAGAGCCACUCCAUGCGCAAUUAAAAGAGCUGU
Regulatory RNA element from Pelecanus crispus (Dalmatian pelican), 47 nucleotides. It matches the Rfam family "Histone 3' UTR stem-loop". Rfam says of the family: The mRNAs of metazoan histone genes lack a poly-A tail. The record is from Rfam. Lineage: Eukaryota; Metazoa; Chordata; Aves; Pelecaniformes; Pelecanidae.